RNAcentral lists this ribosomal RNA (472 nucleotides) under uncultured organism. RNAcentral's name for it is "partial 16S ribosomal RNA". It matches the Rfam family "Bacterial small subunit ribosomal RNA", at positions 332 to 796 of the family's 1533-position model. The record is from RNAcentral.
UACACUCCUACGGGAGGCAGCAGUGGGGAAUAUUGCACAAUGGGCGCAAGCCUGAUGCAGCCAUGCCGCGUGUAUGAAGAAGGCCUUCGGGUUGUAAAGUACUUUCAGCGGGGAGGAAGGCAAUACGGUUAAUAACCGUGUUGAUUGACGUUACCCGCAGAAGAAGCACCGGCUAACUCCGUGCCAGCAGCCGCGGUAAUACGGAGGGUGCAAGCGUUAAUCGGAAUUACUGGGCGUAAAGCGCACGCAGGCGGUCUGUCAAGUCGGAUGUGAAAUCCCCGGGCUCAACCUGGGAACUGCAUUCGAAACUGGCAGGCUUGAGUCUUGUAGAGGGGGGUAGAAUUCCAGGUGUAGCGGUGAAAUGCGUAGAGAUCUGGAGGAAUACCGGUGGCGAAGGCGGCCCCCUGGACAAAGACUGACGCUCAGGUGCGAAAGCGUGGGGAGCAAACAGGAUUAGAUACCCCGGUAGUCC